Small nuclear RNA from Suncus etruscus (white-toothed pygmy shrew), 105 nucleotides. Lineage: Eukaryota; Metazoa; Chordata; Mammalia; Eulipotyphla; Soricidae. The record is from RefSeq and is a predicted model, not a curated record.
AUAUUCUUCAGCAGCACAUAUACUAAAAUUGGAAUGAUACAGAGAAGAUUAGCAUGGCCCCUGCACAAGGAUGACAUGCAAAACCUAGCCUAAUAUAAAGACUAA